GUUGGACAACCCAGGCUUGGAUCUGUGUAGAGGCACAGGUGAUGAAUACAUUGUCCAGAGCUCAGGUCCUCUAGGUCGUGUGCUCCUGGUACGCUUGGAGAAACAGAAGUACUUUGUGGAAGAUAACUGGUAUUGCAAUUAUGUGAAAGUCACACCACCAGGAGGGAAAAACACACAAACCUUCCCCUGCUACUGUUGGUUAGUGGGGGAUAGUAAAGUAGAAGUCCGUGAUGGCACAG
Neoarius graeffei (lesser salmon catfish) is the source of this 239-nucleotide long non-coding RNA. RefSeq lists it as uncharacterized. The record is from RefSeq and is a predicted model, not a curated record. The transcript has 2 exons. Lineage: Eukaryota; Metazoa; Chordata; Actinopteri; Siluriformes; Ariidae.